ACGGCUCAGUAACACGUGGACAACCUACCCUUAGGUCGGGAAUAAACCCGGGAAACUGGGUAUAAUGCCCGAUAGGACUGGAAGGCUGGAAUGCAUCCAGACCAAAAGCUCCGGCGCCUAAGGAUGGGUCUGCGGCCUAUCAGGUCGUAGUGGGUGUAAUGUACCUACUAGCCUACGACGGGUACGGGUUGUGAGAGCAAGAGCCCGGAGAUGGAUUCUGAGACACGAAUCCAGGCCCUACGGGGUGCAGCAGGCGCGAAAACUUUACAAUGCUGGAAACAGCGAUAAGGGAACCUCGAGUGCCAGGAUACAAUCUUGGCUGUCGUAAUGCCUAAAAAGCAUUGCAUAGCAAGGGCCGGGCAAGACCGGUGCCAGCCGCCGCGGUAACACCGGCGGCUCGAGUGGUAACCGCUAUUAUUGGGUCUAAAGGGUCUGUAGCCGGCCAGAUAAGUCUCUUGGGAAAUCUGGCAGCUCAACUGUCAGGCUUUCAGGAGAUACUGUCUGGCUCGAGGCCGGGAGAGGUGAGAGGUACUUCAGGGGUAGGGGUGAAAUCUUGUAAUCCUUGAAGGACCACCAGUGGCGAAGGCGUCUCACCAGAACGGACCUGACGGCAAGGGACGAAAGCUAGGGGCACGAACCGGAUUAGAUACCCGGGUAGUCCUAGCCGUAAACGAUACUCGCUAGGUGUCGGCCACGGUGCGACCGUGGUCGGUGCCGUAGGGAAGCCGUGAAGCGAGCCACCUGGGAAGUACGGCCGCAAGGCUGAAACUUAAAGGAAUUGGCGGGGGAGCAC
RNAcentral lists this ribosomal RNA (793 nucleotides) under uncultured archaeon. RNAcentral's name for it is "bacterial SSU rRNA". It matches the Rfam family "Archaeal small subunit ribosomal RNA", at positions 85 to 879 of the family's 1478-position model. The record is from RNAcentral.